ACAUGCAGUCGAGCGGUAGAGAGAAGCUUGCUUCUCUUGAGAGCGGCGGACGGGUGAGUAAUGCCUAGGAAUCUGCCUAGUGGUGGGGGAUAACGUUCGGAAACGGACGCUAAUACCGCAUACGUCCUACGGGAGAAAGCGGGGGACCUUCGGGCCUCGCGCCAUUAGAUGAGCCUAGGUCGGAUUAGCUAGUUGGUGAGGUAAUGGCUCACCAAGGCGACGAUCCGUAACUGGUCUGAGAGGAUGAUCAGUCACACUGGAACUGAGACACGGUCCAGACUCCUACGGGAGGCAGCAGUGGGGAAUAUUGGACAAUGGGCGAAAGCCUGAUCCAGCCAUGCCGCGUGUGUGAAGAAGGUCUUCGGAUUGUAAAGCACUUUAAGUUGGGAGGAAGGGUAGUAACUUAAUACGUUGCUACUUUGACGUUACCGACAGAAUAAGCACCGGCUAACUUCGUGCCAGCAGCCGCGGUAAUACGAAGGGUGCAAGCGUUAAUCGGAAUUACUGGGCGUAAAGCGCGCGUAGGUGGUUCAGUAAGUUGGAAGUGAAAUCCCCGGGCUCAACCUGGGAACUGCUUUCAAAACUGCUGANCUAGAGUACGGUAGAGGGUGGUGGAAUUUCCUGUGUAGCGGUGAAAUGCGUAGAUAUAGGAAGGAACACCAGUGGCGAA
Molecule: ribosomal RNA, 670 nt
Filed under: unidentified microorganism
Description: bacterial SSU rRNA
Rfam family: Bacterial small subunit ribosomal RNA
Source: RNAcentral